CCCACACACACACACACAAACAAAGAGGCGUUAGGCUGAGACGCUGAAAGUCCGGAUUUAAAGUGCAGAAAAUUAAGCCAUUGAAUCUGCCUGUCCAUGACGUACAAAGACACACUAUGAGCCAGUAUGAUCCGACCAGACCUUACAUCAGCAUUGAGGAGUUGUCGGAGAAGAAAGAGGCUGAUUGAAGCGGGACAUAUGACAUGGAUCCAUCCUUCCACAGCCAGGAGCGCACCGACCUGUGUCCCACAUUUCAUAUAAGACUGGAAGCUACACUGGAUCUGACAGCUACACACCA
This is a long non-coding RNA of Limanda limanda (common dab), 298 nucleotides long. RefSeq lists it as uncharacterized. The transcript is spliced from 3 exons. The record is from RefSeq and is a predicted model, not a curated record. NCBI's taxonomy places the organism in Eukaryota, Metazoa, Chordata, Actinopteri, Pleuronectiformes, Pleuronectidae.